UGGGGGAUAUUGCGCAAUGGGGGCAACCCUGACGCAGCAACGCCGCGUGAAGGAUGAAGGUUUUCGGAUUGUAAACUUCUUUUAUUAAGGACGAAAAAUGACGGUACUUAAUGAAUAAGCUCCGGCUAACUACGUGCCAGCAGCCGCGGUAAUACGUAGGGAGCAAGCGUUGUCCGGAUUUACUGGGUGUAAAGGGUGCGUAGGCGGCUUUGCAAGUCAGAUGUGAAAUCUAUGGGCUCAACCCAUAAACUGCAUUUGAAACUGUAGAGCUUGAGUGAAGUAGAGGCAGGCGGAAUUCCCCGUGUAGCGGUGAAAUGCGUAGAGAUGGGGAGGAACACCAGUGGCGAAGGCGGCCUGCUGGGCUUUAACUGACGCUGAGGCACGAAAGCAUGGGUAGCAAACAGGAUUAGAUACCCUGGUAGUCCACGCUGUAAACGAUGAUUACUAGGUGUGGGGGGUCUGACCCCUUCCGUGCCGGAGUUAACACAAUAAGUAAUCCACCUGGGGAGUACGGCCGCAAGGUUGAAACUCAAAGGAAUUGACGGGGGCCCGCACAAGCAGUGGAGUAUGUGGUUUAAUUCGAAGCAACGCGAAGAACCUUACCAGGUCUUGACAUCCAACUAACGAAGUAGAGAUACAUUAGGUGCCCUUCGGGGAAAGUUGAGACAGGUGGUGCAUGGUUGUCGUCAGCUCGUGUCGUGAGAUGUUGGGUUAAGUCCCGCAACGAGCGCAACCCUUGCUAUUAGUUGCUACGCAAGAGCACUCUAAUAGGACUGCCGUUGACAAAACGGAGGAAGGUGGGGACGACGUCAAAUCAUCAUGCCCCUUAUGACCUGGGCUACACACGUACUACAAUGGAUGUUAACAGAGGGAAGCAAGACAGCGAUGUGGAGCAAACCCCUAAAAACAUUCUCAGUUCAGAUUGCAGGCUGCAACCCGCCUGCAUGAAGAUGGAAUUGCUAGUAAUCGCGGAUCAGCAUGCCGCGGUGAAUACGUUCCC
RNAcentral lists this ribosomal RNA (1000 nucleotides) under uncultured bacterium. Its description in RNAcentral is "bacterial SSU rRNA". It matches the Rfam family "Bacterial small subunit ribosomal RNA", at positions 355 to 1375 of the family's 1533-position model. The record is from RNAcentral. RNAcentral also lists the same sequence under 1 other name.